AAAGUUAACUUAACCUAUGGAUGGCAUAACCUCGGGAAACUGAGAAUAAUACCCAAUGGACCACAGUGCCUGGAAUGGCCUGUGGUUGAAAUGAUUUAUCGCCGUAGGAUAGGACUGCGGCCUAUCAGCUUGUUGGUGAGGUAAUGGCCCACCAAGGCUAUAACAGGUACGGGCUCUGAGAGGAGGGGCCCGGAAGAUGGGUACUGAGACACGGACCCAGGCCCUAUGGGGCGCAGCAGGCGAGAAACCUUUGCAAUGUGCGAAAGCACGACAAGGUUAAUCCGAGUGUCUCCUGCUAAAGGAGUCUUUUGUCAGUUGUAGAAUCACUGGUGAAUAAGGGGUGGGCAAGUUCUGGUGUCAGCCGCCGGGGUAAAACCAGCACCUCGAGUGGUCAGGAGGUAUAUUGGGCCUAAAGCAUCCGUAACCGGUUGCAUAAGUUUUCGGUUAAAUCUAUGCGCUUAACGUAUAGGCCGC
Molecule: ribosomal RNA, 474 nt
Filed under: uncultured archaeon
Lineage: Archaea
Description: bacterial SSU rRNA
Rfam family: Archaeal small subunit ribosomal RNA
Source: RNAcentral